Molecule: ribosomal RNA, 253 nt
Filed under: uncultured bacterium
Lineage: Bacteria
Description: partial 16S ribosomal RNA
Rfam family: Bacterial small subunit ribosomal RNA
Source: RNAcentral
UACGUAGGGUGCAAGCGUUGUCCGGAAUUAUUGGGCGUAAAGAGCGUGUAGGCGGUUUGGUAGGUCCGUUGUGAAAACUCGAGGCUCAACCUCGAGACGCCGGCGGAAACCAUCAGACUAGAGUCCGGAAGAGGAGAGUGGAAUUCCUGGUGUAGCGGUGAAAUGCGCAGAUAUCAGGAAGAACACCCGUGGCUAAGGCGGCUCUCUAGUACGGUACUGACGCUGAGACGCGAAAGCGUGGGGAGCAAACAGG